This 1225-nucleotide ribosomal RNA is filed under the name Salinivibrio sp. THS308. RNAcentral describes it as "bacterial SSU rRNA". It matches the Rfam family "Bacterial small subunit ribosomal RNA", at positions 253 to 1465 of the family's 1533-position model. Lineage: Bacteria; Pseudomonadati; Pseudomonadota; Gammaproteobacteria; Vibrionales; Vibrionaceae. The record is from RNAcentral.
UAAGGUAAUGGCUUAACCAAGGCAACGAUCCUUAAGCUGGUUUGAAAGAGGAUGAUCAGCCACACUGGGAACUGAAGACACGGCCCAAGACUCUACGGGAGGCAGCAGUGGGGGAAUAUUGCACAAUGGGGGGAGACCUGAUGCAGCCAUGCCGCGUGUGUGAAGAAGGCCUUCGGGUUGUAAAGCACUUUCAGCAGUGAGGAAGGUCGUGUACUUAAUACGUGCACGGCUUGACGUUAGCUGCAGAAGAAGCACCGGCUAACUCCGUGCCAGCAGCCGCGGUAAUACGGAGGGUGCGAGCGUUAAUCGGAAUUACUGGGCGUAAAGCGCAUGCAGGCGGUUUGUUAAGUCAGAUGUGAAAGCCCGGGGCUCAACCUCGGAACCGCAUUUGAAACUGGCAGGCUAGAGUCUUGUAGAGGGGGGUAGAAUUUCAGGUGUAGCGGUGAAAUGCGUAGAGAUCUGAAGGAAUACCAGUGGCGAAGGCGGCCCCCUGGACAAAGACUGACGCUCAGAUGCGAAAGCGUGGGUAGCAAACAGGAUUAGAUACCCUGGUAGUCCACGCCGUAAACGCUGUCUACUUGGAGGUUGAGGUUUUAGACUUUGGCUUUCGGCGCUAACGCAUUAAGUAGACCGCCUGGGGAGUACGGCCGCAAGGUUAAAACUCAAAUGAAUUGACGGGGGCCCGCACAAGCGGUGGAGCAUGUGGUUUAAUUCGAUGCAACGCGAAGAACCUUACCUACUCUUGACAUCCAGCGAAGCCUUUAGAGAUAGAGGCGUGCCUUCGGGAGCGCUGAGACAGGUGCUGCAUGGCUGUCGUCAGCUCGUGUUGUGAAAUGUUGGGUUAAGUCCCGCAACGAGCGCAACCCUUAUCCUUGUUUGCCAGCACGUAAUGGUGGGAACUCCAGGGAGACUGCCGGUGAUAAACCGGAGGAAGGUGGGGACGACGUCAAGUCAUCAUGGCCCUUACGAGUAGGGCUACACACGUGCUACAAUGGCAGAUACAGAGGGCAGCGAGACAGCGAUGUUUAGCGAAUCCCUUAAAGUUUGUCGUAGUCCGGAUUGGAGUCUGCAACUCGACUCCAUGAAGUCGGAAUCGCUAGUAAUCGUGGAUCAGAAUGCCACGGUGAAUACGUUCCCGGGCCUUGUACACACCGCCCGUCACACCAUGGGAGUGGGCUGCACCAGAAGUAGAUAGCUUAACCUUCGGGAGGGCGUACCACGAUGU